GACGAACGCUGGCGGCGUGCCUAAUACAUGCAAGUUGAGCGCUGAAGGUUGGUACUUGUACCAACUGGAUGAGCAGCUAACGGGUGAGUAACGCGUGGGGAAUCUGCCUUUGAGCGGGGGACAACAUUUGGAAGCGAAUGCUAAUACCGCAUAAAAACUUUAAACACAAGUUUUAAGUUUGAAAGAUGCCAUUGCAUCACUCAAAGAUGAUCCCGCGUUGUAUUAGCUAGUUGGUGAGGUAAAGGCUCACCAAGGCGAUGAUACAUAGCCGACCUGAGAGGGUGAUCGGCCACAUUGGGACUGAGACACGGCCCAAACUCCUACGGGAGGCAGCAGUAGGGAAUCUUCGGCAAUGGACGAAAGUCUGACCGAGCAAAGCCGCGUGAGGGAAGAAGGUUGUCGGAUCGUAAAACUCUGUUGGUAGAGAAGAACGUUGGUGAGAGUGGAAAGCUCAUCAAGUGACGGUAACUACACAGAAAGGGACGGCUAACUACGUG
This 497-nucleotide ribosomal RNA is filed under the name uncultured bacterium. RNAcentral's name for it is "partial 16S ribosomal RNA". It matches the Rfam family "Bacterial small subunit ribosomal RNA", at positions 28 to 507 of the family's 1533-position model. The record is from RNAcentral.